UCAACUUGAGAGUUUGAUCCUGGCUCAGAACGAACGCUGGCGGCAGGCCUAACACAUGCAAGUCGAGCGAACCCUUCGGGGUUAGCGGCGGACGGGUGAGUAACGCGUGGGAACGUGCCCUUUGCUACGGAAUAGCCCCGGGAAACUGGGAGUAAUACCGUAUACGCCCUUAGGGGGAAAGAUUUAUCGGCAAGGGAUCGGCCCGCGUUGGAUUAGGUAGUUGGUGGGGUAAUGGCCUACCAAGCCGACGAUCCAUAGCUGGUUUGAGAGGAUGAUCAGCCACACUGGGACUGAGACACGGCCCAGACUCCUACGGGAG
RNAcentral lists this ribosomal RNA (319 nucleotides) under Paracoccus sp. BP8. RNAcentral describes it as "bacterial SSU rRNA". It matches the Rfam family "Bacterial small subunit ribosomal RNA", at positions 1 to 347 of the family's 1533-position model. Lineage: Bacteria; Pseudomonadati; Pseudomonadota; Alphaproteobacteria; Rhodobacterales; Paracoccaceae. The record is from RNAcentral.